GUAGCAAGAAAAUACCACUCAAAUGUGAUCAAUUUGCUAUUUUAUUGUCGGUCCUCAAUGAUUUCUCUUUUAACACAAAUGCUUAGAAAUAAUCAAGAGAAAUUCAUAAUAAGCUACUUAUUUCCAAAAACACCAAUGAAAACGUGCAUAUUGACUAUAAACAAUAUUUAAGACUAAACCACAUAUGUCUUAAAAACUUAAUAUAUAUCUCAUGACAUACCAUUAAUUAAUGAGCAAAUAUAAACAAAUAUAAUAUCACAAAUGAUGAUCAUCAAAUAAUUAUAUAUUUCCAUCUCAAACAAAUAUUGAUUAUAUGGACAAAAUAAUAUAUAAUUGCUCAAAAGAGUUAAUUACGAAACCAAGCUACCACUAAUCAAAAACAUUAAAAGAUUCCACAACACCCAUGUAGAGGGAUCUUUUACACGCUAAGUGCACUGUGCAGUGUAUUGGUUUAUUAAAAUGGAGGAAUAAUUCAAAUUGUUCUGAAAUUACUAAUACAAACUACUGUUGUGUCUUGAUCAAACAGAAAAUGAUAUAUGAUUUAGUAGUAAAGGAAUUCACUACAAAAGUUUAAGAAUCACUUUGUUUUUUGAAAUUAUUAGAUUAAUAAAGUUUUCACAUGCCAGUCCAAGAAAGACAAAUAAAUAAAUAGAUAAAUACAUAAUGGAUUUUUUUUUUUUGGAGAUUGAAAUAUACGUGGAAAUUGGGAAAAGAAGGACUAAAGACCCUUGAUAGCUUCAUGAUUUAUGAGUUAAUAGCGUACAUUUAUCAAACACAUCCCCAUCAAGCAAAAUGGACAACACCCUAGAUAAUACUUCUUUCAAUUUAUUUGACUAUGCGUUAUGAAAGUAUAUGUUUUUUUUUUUUUUUUUU
RNAcentral lists this unclassified non-coding RNA (873 nucleotides) under Hevea brasiliensis (rubber tree). The record is from RNAcentral. Lineage: Eukaryota; Viridiplantae; Streptophyta; Magnoliopsida; Malpighiales; Euphorbiaceae.